This 253-nucleotide ribosomal RNA is filed under the name uncultured bacterium. RNAcentral's name for it is "partial 16S ribosomal RNA". It matches the Rfam family "Bacterial small subunit ribosomal RNA", at positions 524 to 776 of the family's 1533-position model. The record is from RNAcentral.
UACAGAGGUCUCAAGCGUUGUUCGGAUUCAUUGGGCGUAAAGGGCGCGUAGGCUGCGGGGCAAGUCGGGUGUGAAAUCUCAGAGCUCAACUCUGAAACUGCACUCGAUACUGCUCUGCUCGAGGACUGGAGAGGAGACUGGAAUUCACGGUGUAGCAGUGAAAUGCGUAGAGAUCGUGAGGAAGACCAGUGGCGAAGGCGGGUCUCUGGACAGUUCCUGACGCUGAGGCGCGAAGGCCAGGGGAGCAAACGGG